Molecule: long non-coding RNA, 1751 nt
Organism: Bos taurus (domestic cattle)
Lineage: Eukaryota; Metazoa; Chordata; Mammalia; Artiodactyla; Bovidae
Source: Ensembl
CCUAGAGUGUGAACUCCCUGAGGGUGGUGACUGCGUUCUUAUCUUUGUAUUCUUAGUUACUGAUGUCCCUGCAGUGCAGAAAAUGUUUGUUGAAUGAAUGUCUGAGAUUCCAAGUUUAGCGCUUCUUUCUCCUAGGUGCAGAUUUAGUCUGGGGAAAGAUGAGGCCUUCAAAUGAUUUUAGUCAUUGAUACUUUAGUAUGAUUCAAUCCAGGAUUUGAUGAUAGUUCUGAGAGAGGUAGAAACUGGGAAUGGGAGGGACGCUAGGCCAACAGCUGGGGUCCGAACCUGUAUGUUCAAGGAUGGUGAGAUGCCAGGAUGAAGAGGAGGGAAUUCUGGAUGGGAGAGGUUCCCGGAGGACUAGAAGGCAAAGGCUGUGUGGGCCGUCUUGCCAGGCCCUCGGGUGGAGGAAGGAAGGGGCAGCUUCCGGGUGUGCCAGGCACGCCGCGUGCCGAGGGUGCAGGACGCUGACCCCGCGUUGCACGUCCCACGGGCCGGAAGCCGGCUGGCCCGACGCCGCCGGGGGGCUUCCUCGCUUUGCAGCGCCGGAAGCGGCGGCCGGCGGCGGUCUGGGCCAGGGCCGUUCCGACCGUGUCAUCCUUGCCCGCGGCGGCGCAGGAAGCCGGUGUGGAGCGCACCGAAGCCUGGGGCGCGGGGCCUCCGCCGGGCGUGGUGCGUGGCCCUCGGCUCUCAGCGCAGACGCGCGCGCCCAGAGCGGCCGGGCCGGCUGGGGCCUGCCCUGCGGUCGCCCCGCCAUCUCCCUGUCUCCUCGAGUCCUUGGAGACUCUGGCCCCUCACUGUCUGCCUCUGCUAAGCCCUUCCUCGAAGGCCUGUCCUGGAAGGGAAGAGAGGAUCCGCCCCGAGACGGCGGGACCCGCUGCAGCUUCCUGUGGUCGCAAGAAGGCGUAGCUAAGACGGUCUCUAGGCAGGGGCGACAUUGGAGACGAGCACACGUUUCACAGGUGGCUGCCUCCUAGAUUGGCAUCUGAGCCUGGCCUGGCUUGCCCACACCCUCCAAGCCUCCAGCCCACGGGGACUUCAGAGGAGGCCUGUAUCCCAGAUUAGCCCUAAAGACAACAUGCUCCUGAAGAAGAAAGAGGAGUUCUAGGACCUUGGGCAUUCGCAUUGACCCUAUGAGUGCACAUCCUCCUCUGUAAGAUGGGGUGUAUUAGUCCUACCUAUAUCACAGGUUCAGCAUAAAGGGGAUCUUCCUUAUCCAGGGAUCGAACUUGCGUUUCCUGCUUGGCAGAUGGAUUCUUUACCACUAAGCCACCUGAUUAUGGAAUUUGUGUUAGACAGAAAGCAAAUUUGAGCGAUUUUCUUAUUUGAGUUCAAAAUGGGUUGUAAAUCAGUAGAGAAAACUAGCAACUUCAACAACGCAUUUGGCCCAGGAAUUGCUAACAAAGGAAUAGUACAGUGGUGGUUCAAGACAUUUGCAAAGGAGAUGAGAGCAUUGAAGAUGAGGAGUGGAGUGGCCAGCUAUCGCAAGUUGACAGUGACAAUUGAGAGCCAUCAUCAAAGCUGAUCCUCUUACAACUACAUAAGUUGCUGAAGAACUCAGCAUUGACCAUUCUAUGGUCAUUUGGCAUUUGAAGCAAAUGGAAAGGUGAAAAAGCUUGGUAAGUGAGUGCCUCAUGAGCUGACUGGAAAAAAAAUUGUUGUUUUGAAGUGUUGUCUUCUCUUAUUCUAUGCAACAACAGUGAACCAUUUCUCAGUCGGAUUGUGACGUGCAAUGAAAAGUGAUCUUAUAUGAC